GAACCACUUUUCUGUACAUGCAGGAAAGUCAAGGCCAUACGGACAGCCGGGUUCACUGCCGA
RNAcentral lists this small RNA (62 nucleotides) under unclassified sequences. Its description in RNAcentral is "Streptococcus sRNA SpF59 (ldcC RNA)". It matches the Rfam family "Streptococcus sRNA SpF59 (ldcC RNA)". The record is from Rfam by way of RNAcentral.